AAAAUAGAUCCGUAACUUCGGGAUAAGGAUUGGCUCUAAGGGUUGGGCACGUUGGGCCUUGGGCGGACGCCUUGGGAGCAGGCUGCCACUAGUCGGGCAACCGACCGGCGGCGGCCAGCAUCCGAGUGUUGAUGCCCUUGGCAGGCUUCGGCCGUCCGGCGUGCGGUUAACAACCAACUUAGAACUGGUACGGACAAGGGGAA
RNAcentral lists this ribosomal RNA (203 nucleotides) under Ostreococcus mediterraneus. Its description in RNAcentral is "partial Eukaryotic large subunit ribosomal RNA". It matches the Rfam family "Eukaryotic large subunit ribosomal RNA", at positions 1919 to 2132 of the family's 3401-position model. The record is from RNAcentral. Lineage: Eukaryota; Viridiplantae; Chlorophyta; Mamiellophyceae; Mamiellales; Bathycoccaceae.